AAUUUAAGCAUAUAAAUAAGCAGAGGAAAAGAAACUAACUAGGAUUGGUCCAGUAACGGCGAGUGAAGGACCAAUAGUCCACUUGAGAAUCAUCAUUCGUGAUGAAUUGUGGUAUGCAGGUCAUAUUGUUUGCCCAGCUGAUUGAGUCCCCUGGAAGGGGGCAGCACAGAGGGUGAGACUCCCGUUUGUCUGCUGGCAAGAAAUUUGACUGGUGAGUCGAGUUGUUUGGGAUUGCAGCUCUAAGUGGGUGGUAAAUUCCAUCUAAGGCUAAAUACGAGUGAGAGACCAAUAGCACACAAGUACCGUGAGGGAAAGAUGCAAAGCCGCGCGAGAGCGCUGUCAAAGAGUACCUGAAAUUGCUGAAAUGGAAGCAAAGGAAACUAGUGAAGACCAUCCUGCAUUUCCUCUCUUGCUUGCAAUUGGGGUGCUGCAGAUGGUUGUGUUCCGGCCAAUGUAUUUGCAGUGGAAGAUUCUGACACUGUAAGCCACUGGUUGGGUCAAAAUAGUUUUCUUUUUCCCGUCUUGAAACACG
Molecule: ribosomal RNA, 532 nt
Filed under: Surirella sp.1 ECR-2011
Lineage: Eukaryota; Bacillariophyta; Bacillariophyceae; Surirellales; Surirellaceae
Description: eukaryotic LSU rRNA
Rfam family: Eukaryotic large subunit ribosomal RNA
Source: RNAcentral